Unclassified non-coding RNA from Anser brachyrhynchus (Pink-footed goose), 173 nucleotides. Lineage: Eukaryota; Metazoa; Chordata; Aves; Anseriformes; Anatidae. The record is from Ensembl.
UUGACAGCACUGGAAAUUGAAGUUCCUUUUUUAUCUACGGAACAGGUACACCAUGUACAGAGGCAGCAUAAACCCAGGCUACUGAUGUGUCUUGGCUCUGUCCUGGGCUUAACAACCUGAAAGGAAGAGGGAAUAACCUGCUCCUCAUGGCCCUGUUAGGUUGUGUCGCUAUU